UGAACGGGGACCUGCUCAAGCCCGAGUCGCUGCCGCCGGCGCUGGUCGGCAUCCACACGGUGAUCGACUGC
RNAcentral lists this transfer RNA (71 nucleotides) under Chloroparvula sp. RCC696. The record is from RNAcentral. Lineage: Eukaryota; Viridiplantae; Chlorophyta; Chloropicophyceae; Chloropicales; Chloropicaceae.